This 395-nucleotide ribosomal RNA is filed under the name uncultured bacterium. RNAcentral's name for it is "bacterial SSU rRNA". It matches the Rfam family "Bacterial small subunit ribosomal RNA", at positions 358 to 770 of the family's 1533-position model. The record is from RNAcentral.
GGAAUCUUGCACAAUGGGGGAAACCCUGAUGCAGCGACGCCGCGUGAGCGAUGAAGCCCUUCGGGGUGUAAAGCUCUUUCAGCGGGGACGAUAAUGACGGUACCCGCAGAAGAAGCUGCGGCUAACUACGUGCCAGCAGCCGCGGUAAUACGUAGGCAGCAAGCGUUGUUCGGAGUUACUGGGCGUAAAGAGUGUGUAGGCGGUUCCGUAAGUUCGGUGUGAAAUCUCCCGGCUCAACUGGGAGGGUGCGCCGGAAACUGCGGUGCUUGAGCGUGGGAGAGGGAAGCGGAAUUCCUGGUGUAGCGGUGAAAUGCGUAGAUAUCAGGAGGAACACCGGUGGUGUAGACGGCUUCCUGGACCACUGCUGACGCUGAGACACGAAAGCGUGGGGAGCA